Eucalyptus grandis is the source of this 520-nucleotide long non-coding RNA. RefSeq lists it as uncharacterized. NCBI's taxonomy places the organism in Eukaryota, Viridiplantae, Streptophyta, Magnoliopsida, Myrtales, Myrtaceae. The record is from RefSeq and is a predicted model, not a curated record. The transcript has 2 exons.
GUCCGCCUCCGCCUACGCGCCCGACGCCAACGCGUCGAACCACGACGGCGAAAAUGGAGGAGAGAGAAACGACGAGCUCGACGGCGCCGGCGACGGCGACGAAGCAGAAGACGGAGACGAAGAAGCAGAAGCACGCGCGCGCUCGGGGUUCUGGACAUGGCUCGUCGCGUCGGUCGCGUUCCGGCUCGCCCUCGUCUACCUCCCCAGGAACCUCCGCCUGUCCACCCGCCCCGAGGUCGCCACCCCUCUCACCAGCAUUCGCCGCCUUGGCAAAGGCUACUGGUUGAAGCAGUAGGCGAUGUGUCUCCCUACGCAGGUUCGGCUCCCUUCGAUCUCUGUAGGAAGGAAGCUGCUUGUUUGCUUACUGGUGUGUCGCUGUUCCAUGCUUUGAUCCCUUCCACAGGUUCCAUGUAUCACGAAAUCUCGUUAACCUAAAGGAAUUACUGUACUCACAUGUAUUUCUUUUUGUAAAGGAUGCUGAUUAUCUUCCUAAAGGAAAUUCUUCAUUGAAUUUUGUUAA